UACGGAGGGUGCAAGCGUUAUCCGGAUUUACUGGGUUUAAAGGGUGCGUAGGUGGGUAGGUAAGUCAGUGGUGAAAUCUUCAAGCUUAACUUGGAAACUGCCAUUGAUACUAUUUACCUUGAAUACUUUGGAGGUAAGCGGAAUAUGUCAUGUAGCGGUGAAAUGCUUAGAUAUGACAUAGAACACCAAUUGCGAAGGCAGCUUACUACACAGUUAUUGACACUGAGGCACGAAAGCGUGGGGAUCAAACAGG
RNAcentral lists this ribosomal RNA (253 nucleotides) under uncultured bacterium. RNAcentral's name for it is "partial 16S ribosomal RNA". It matches the Rfam family "Bacterial small subunit ribosomal RNA", at positions 524 to 776 of the family's 1533-position model. The record is from RNAcentral.